RNAcentral lists this transfer RNA (61 nucleotides) under Camelus bactrianus (Bactrian camel). It matches the Rfam family "tRNA". From Rfam's summary of the family: Transfer RNA (tRNA) molecules are approximately 80 nucleotides in length. The record is from Rfam by way of RNAcentral. RNAcentral also lists the same sequence under 2 other names. Lineage: Eukaryota; Metazoa; Chordata; Mammalia; Artiodactyla; Camelidae.
GGGUGUAUAGCUUAGUGGUAGAGCGUGCACAAGGUCCUGGGCUCAAUCCCCGGUACUGCCA